This 253-nucleotide ribosomal RNA is filed under the name uncultured bacterium. Its description in RNAcentral is "partial 16S ribosomal RNA". It matches the Rfam family "Bacterial small subunit ribosomal RNA", at positions 524 to 776 of the family's 1533-position model. The record is from RNAcentral.
UACAGAGGUCUCAAGCGUUGUUCGGAUUCAUUGGGCGUAAAGGGUGCGUAGGCGGCGCGGUAAGUCGGGUGUGAAAUCUUGGAGCUUAACUCCGAAACUGCAUUCGAUACUGCCGUGCUUGAGGACUGGAGAGGAGACUGGAAUUUACGGUGUAGCGGUGAAAUGCGUAGAUAUCGUAAGGAAGACCAGUAGCGAAGGCGGGUCUCUGGACAGUUCCUGACGCUGAGGCACGAAGGCCAGGGGAGCAAACGGG